RNAcentral lists this ribosomal RNA (497 nucleotides) under uncultured bacterium. Its description in RNAcentral is "partial 16S ribosomal RNA". It matches the Rfam family "Bacterial small subunit ribosomal RNA", at positions 28 to 507 of the family's 1533-position model. The record is from RNAcentral.
GAUGAACGCUGGCGGCGUGCCUAAUACAUGCAAGUCGAGCGAACGGACGAGAAGCUUGCUUCUCUGAUGUUAGCGGCGGACGGGUGAGUAACACGUGGAUAACCUACCUAUAAGACUGGGAUAACUUCGGGAAACCGGCGCUAAUACCGGAUAAUAUUUUGAACCGCAUGGUUCAAAAGUGAAAGACGGUCUUGCUGUCACUUAUAGAUGGAUCCGCGCUGCAUUAGCUAGUUGGUAAGGUAACGGCUUACCAAGGCAACGAUGCAUAGCCGACCUGAGAGGGGGAUCGGCCACACUGGAACUGAGACACGGUCCAGACUCCUACGGGAGGCAGCAGUAGGGAAUCUUCCGCAAUGGGCGAAAGCCUGACGGAGCAACGCCGCGUGAGUGAUGAAGGUCUUCGGAUCGUAAAACUCUGUUAUUAGGGAAGAACAUAUGUGUAAGUAACUGUGCACAUCUUGACGGUACCUAAUCAGAAAGCCACGGCUAACUACGUG